AUGCUGCCGCGCAGGGUGACUGAGGAGAUGAACACAAGUUUAACAAAGGAGUUUACAGAAAAAGAAAUCAGCGACGCACUCUUUCAGAUUGGACCACUGAAGGCGCCGGGGCCAGAUGGCUUUCCGGCACGCUUCUUCCAACUCAACUGGGAGACGUUGAAGAAGGAUGUAGUUGCUGCGGUGUUGAGUUUUUUUGAGAAUGGAAUCAUGCCAGAGGGCGUUAAUGACACAGCGUUAGUGCUUAUUCCAAAAGGGAAGAACCCACAAAGUUUGAAAGACUUCAGACCGAUCAGUCUCUGCAACGUAAUAUAUAAAGUAAUCUCCAAAUGCCUCGUGAACCGGCUGCGGCCGUUCUUGGAUGAGCUAAUAUCGGAAACCCAGAGUGCGUUUAUACCCGGACGGAUGAUCACGGACAAUGCCAUUAUCGCCUUCGAGUGCUUCCAUAAAAUACAACAGAGUAAGAAUCCUCACAAUACUCACUGUGCGUACAAGUUAGAUCUGGCCAAAGCCUAUGACAGAGUUGACUGGGACUUUCUUGAAGGAGCUCUGGAGAAGGUGGGUUUCAGUGCUGUGUGGAUUGGUUGGAUCAUGAAGUGUCUGAAAUCUGUCCGAUUCCAAGUGAAAAUGAAUGGGGAAAUGUUAGAGGCCUUCAUUCCUACAAGAGGACUCAGACAAGGCGAUCCCUUGAGCCCAUAUUUGUUCCUCUUUAUUGCUGAUGGGCUGGCUACAAUUUUUAACAGGGAGGUUCGAGGUGGAUGCAUCUCUCCUGUAAAAGUGGCUCGCAAUAGCCCUGGGAUCUCUAAUCUUCUUUUUGCAGAUGAUAGUUUGGUAUUUUUCAAAGCCACCAGAGAACAAGCUAGAGUGGUGAAAGGAGCUCUAUCCAUGUUCCAAAAAUGCACGGGGCAGCUCCUAAGUAGCAGUAAGUGCUCUAUCUUAUUUAGUGAGCACUGUCCUAAUACACUUCAGGAGGAAAUUAAAGAUAUCCUUGCGUGUGAGACAUCUACUUUCGAAAGCAAAUACUUGGGUCUCCCAACCCCGGAAGGGAGAAUGAAAGAUGCAAAAUUCCAGCCCAUCAUGGACAAAUUUCUGAAAAAAUGCAACAAUUGGGAUGGAAGACAUAUGUCCUUUGCUGCGAAGGAGGUGAAUGUGAAGUCGGUGGUCCAGGCUCUUCCGACAUAUGCCAUGGGGGUUUUCAAAUUCUCGGUGGGUUUUUGUGACAAGUAUGAGCGACUGAUUAGAGAGUUCUGGUGGGGAGAGGAGGAAGGGCAUAGGGAAGUUCAUUGGAUGGCAUGGGAGCAAAUGAUAAAGCCCAAAAGAGCAGGAGGGAUCGGCUUUUGA
Molecule: ribosomal RNA, 1338 nt
Filed under: Triticum aestivum (bread wheat)
Lineage: Eukaryota; Viridiplantae; Streptophyta; Magnoliopsida; Poales; Poaceae
Description: partial small subunit ribosomal RNA
Source: RNAcentral